AUCCAGUUGACGAGUCCCUAAUGGGACGAAAUGCUCAUCUGGGAU
This 45-nucleotide non-coding RNA is filed under the name Trichobilharzia regenti. Lineage: Eukaryota; Metazoa; Platyhelminthes; Trematoda; Strigeidida; Schistosomatidae. The record is from RNAcentral.